This 481-nucleotide ribosomal RNA is filed under the name uncultured bacterium. RNAcentral describes it as "bacterial SSU rRNA". It matches the Rfam family "Bacterial small subunit ribosomal RNA", at positions 356 to 831 of the family's 1533-position model. The record is from RNAcentral.
GGGGAAUUUUGGACAAUGGGGGCAACCCUGAUCCAGCCAUGCCGCGUGCAGGAUGAAGGUCUUCGGAUUGUAAACUGCUUUUGUCAGGGACGAAAAGGGAUGCGAUAACACCGCAUUCCGCUGACGGUACCUGAAGAAUAAGCACCGGCUAACUACGUGCCAGCAGCCGCGGUAAUACGUAGGGUGCAAGCGUUAAUCGGAAUUACUGGGCGUAAAGCGUGCGCAGGCGGUUCUGUAAGAUAGAUGUGAAAUCCCCGGGCUCAACCUGGGAAUUGCAUAUAUGACUGCAGGACUUGAGUUUGUCAGAGGAGGGUGGAAUUCCACGUGUAGCAGUGAAUGCGUAGAUAUGUGGAAGAACACCGAUGGCGAAGGCAGCCCUCUGGACAUGACUGACGCUCAUGCACGAAAGCGUGGGGAGUAAACAGGAUUAGAUACCCUGGUAGUCCACGCCCUAAACGAUGUCUACUAGUUGUUGGGGACG